CCUACGGGCGGCAGCAGUCGGGAAUAUUGGUCAAUGGAGGAAACUCUGACCCAGCAAUACCGCGUGAAGGAUGAAGGUUUUCGGAUUUUAAACUUCUGUUAUUAAGGAAGAAAAAAAUGACGGUACUUUCUAAGUAAGCCCCGGCAAACUAUGUGCCAGCAGCCGCUGUGAGACAUAGGGGGCAAGCGUUGUCCGGAAGGACUGGGUGUAAAGGGUGUGUAGGUGGCUUAUUAAGUUAGAGGUGAAAGCCCGAAGCUCAACUUCUGAACUGCCUUUGAAACUGGUUGGCUUGAGUGUGGGAGAGGUUAGUGGAACUCCUAGUGUAGCGGUGGAAUGCGUAGAUAUAAGGAAGAACAUCGGAGGCGAAGGCGGCUAACUGGAACAUUACUGACACUGAAGCACGAAAGCGUGGGGAGCAAACAGGAUUAGAUACCCUAGUAGUC
RNAcentral lists this ribosomal RNA (443 nucleotides) under uncultured bacterium. Its description in RNAcentral is "partial 16S ribosomal RNA". It matches the Rfam family "Bacterial small subunit ribosomal RNA", at positions 338 to 795 of the family's 1533-position model. The record is from RNAcentral.